Molecule: ribosomal RNA, 274 nt
Filed under: uncultured bacterium
Lineage: Bacteria
Description: partial 16S ribosomal RNA
Rfam family: Archaeal small subunit ribosomal RNA
Source: RNAcentral
AAACCAGCACCUCAAGUGGUCAGGAUGAUUAUUGGGCCUAAAGCAUCCGUAGCCGGCUCUGUAAGUUUUCGGUUAAAUCUGUACGCUUAACGUACAGGCUGCUGGGAAUACUGCAGAGCUAGGGAGUGGGAGAGGUAGACGGUACUCGGGAGGAAGUGGUAAAAUGCUUUGAUCUCUCGAUGACCACCUGUGGCGAAGGCGGUCUACCUGAACACGUCCGACGGUGAGGGAUGAAAGCUGGGGGAGCAAACCGGAUUAGAAACCCCUGUAGUCC